UACGUAGGGUGCAAGCGUUAAUCGGAAUUACUGGGCGUAAAGCGUGCGCAGGCGGUUCGCUAAGACCGAUGUGAAAUCCCCGGGCUUAACCUGGGAACUGCAUUGGUGACUGGCGGGCUAGAGUAUGGCAGAGGGGGGUAGAAUUCCACGUGUAGCAGUGAAAUGCGUAGAGAUGUGGAGGAACACCGAUGGCGAAGGCAGCCCCCUGGGCUAACACUGACGCUCAGGCACGAAAGCGUGGGGAGCAAACAGG
RNAcentral lists this ribosomal RNA (253 nucleotides) under uncultured bacterium. RNAcentral's name for it is "partial 16S ribosomal RNA". It matches the Rfam family "Bacterial small subunit ribosomal RNA", at positions 524 to 776 of the family's 1533-position model. The record is from RNAcentral.